GAAAACCAUCAGUCAUGUUUGUCACUUCAUCAAUAAAGGCGGGAAUGUAGCUCACGCGCGCCACUGCCAAUACCCUGUCGAUAUUGAUGAGCUCCAGGUGGUCAAGCAUCUCGUGACAACCGAAUGAGUGGCGCGCAGUUACAUCCAACAGAUGACACGUAUGGUGUCGCAUUUCAGGAGUUUUCGAUACCCCAACAUUUGCUUGUAGAGUGUAACUAAAAUACACAGUUCAUUAUUCAAGAGUCUGAUUUUGUAGGAUACGUUUUUCUAUCAAUGUGUCAUUCCAGAAACAUAGAAAGUCACCUCAACUGCGACGGAAAAUAGUAGACGUGUCCUGUCCCUAAAGUUAGAUAUGGAAGAUGGCUUCGUGAUUUGAAACACGGAUGAAAACGGUACACCACUGGCCUCCAGAUAAUAGCCUAAUACAGUGCAGGGUCAGAGGGUGGACACAGGAGGACAAACCCACCCCUGAGAGUCCUAUAGAGUAAGAGCCACCAGAAGCCCACCCCUAACCCAGCCCAGAGGAGGUCACGUUGUGUCACCACAGCAAAGUCCUCUGGGUAAAUAACCCCUCAAGUCUCAGUGCCUCACCGCUGCCACCACCUGAGGGGCGAGAGAGAGACGGCCCCACAGGACAACGAGCUGGAACUCAAAACAACUGGCAGUGGUUUGGAACAAAAUAAGACUAUUUGGCCAAAAUCUUGAUUUCUUUUUCAGUUACCUUUUGAAGUGAACAAAAUGGUUUGCUUUUUAGAUAAUGUAAUGGAACAAUUUGUGUUGUGCUCAUUCAAGGCCA
RNAcentral lists this long non-coding RNA (796 nucleotides) under Salmo salar (Atlantic salmon). RNAcentral's name for it is "lncRNA (ENSSSAG00000111004.1)". Lineage: Eukaryota; Metazoa; Chordata; Actinopteri; Salmoniformes; Salmonidae. The record is from RNAcentral.